Long non-coding RNA from Lacerta agilis (Sand lizard), 734 nucleotides. RefSeq lists it as uncharacterized. NCBI's taxonomy places the organism in Eukaryota, Metazoa, Chordata, Lepidosauria, Squamata, Lacertidae. The transcript has 3 exons. The record is from RefSeq and is a predicted model, not a curated record.
AGAGCACGUCUUGGCCGCCGCCAGAAAGAGGAGGCAGAAAGGGUCAUAUGCAUCACUUGAUAUCGGAUUACUCCACAAUUGAUGGAUUGCCACUGAAUUGUGCACAGUCAAUUGAAAGGCAUUAUGUUGAAGUAAGAAGAGGCGAUAAAGUGAGAGCUUGAUGCACUUGAACAUCAGGAAUGCUGCAUGAACAUUGGAGGACUUGGCCAAGGUGUACCUUGGGCUGGAGGAGUUACAGCUAGACUUCUCACUGUGGACAGUCAUGAGGGAAACAGGUGGCCAAGGAUGGGCAGUCCAAGAUUAGCUCAGCCUGUGCCAGGCUAACAGGUUGUUCACCCUGAAGAGCCACACCGGAGUCAGCGGCAUUACAGAACCAGUGCAUAGAGGCUGUGGGCUGCCCAGAUGACAAGACCCCACACCCGGCCUCACAGAUGUGGUCUAAAGGAAAGCAGAGCAAUACGUUUGACACCAGCUUGGCUGCCAGAGUUGCCAAAAGGAUGCUAAUAAGGUGCCGUCCAACCAUCUUAGGGACUCUCACUCUAUGGGACUACCAGUUUAAAUAUAAAGCUUCUGGGGAGCUAUCUUGGAGUUUUCUAUUGCCAGGAUCUUUAACCCUUUGUAAACACAAUGUUAUCUUUAUAGGAGCAGCAUGUACAUGAUAACUGCAAGAAAUGAAGUUGGCUGUCGUUUCUUUGACAAACGAUGCAAGAAAAUGAAUAAACAACACUGAUGCA